UCCCCGUUACCGGGGCAGUCUGGCCUGAGAAAUACAACAGACCAUAAGGGUUGCGCUCGUUGAUGGACUUAACCAAACAUCUCACGACACGAGCUGACGACGGCCAUGCAACACCUGUCAUCGGGUUCCAAAAGGCACUCUCUACUUUCGUAAAGAUUCCCGAGAUGUCAAACCCUGGUAAGGUUCUUCGCUUACCAUCGAAUUAAACAACACGCUCCACCGCUUGUGCGGGUCCCCGUCAAUUCCUUUAUGUUUUAGCCUUGCGGCCGUACUCCACAGGCGGCUUGCUUAACGCGUUAGCUUCGCUACUACGAGGGUCGAUACUCAUAACAGCUAGCAAGCAUCGUUUACGGCGUGGACUAC
This 363-nucleotide unclassified non-coding RNA is filed under the name uncultured bacterium. Its description in RNAcentral is "contains 16S-23S intergenic spacer region". The record is from RNAcentral.